CAGUCGCCGCGGUAAUACGUAGGGUGCGGGCGUUAAUCGGAAUUACUGGGCGUAAAGCGUGCGCAGGCGGUUAUAUAAGACAGAUGUGAAAUCCCCGGGCUCAACCUGGGACCUGCAUUUGUGACUGUAUAGCUAGAGUACGGUAGAGGGGGAUGGAAUUCCGCGUGUAGCAGUGAAAUGCGUAGAUAUGCGGAGGAACACCGAUGGCGAAGGCAAUCCCCUGGACCUGUACUGACGCUCAUGCACGAAAGCGUGGGGAGCAAACAGGAUUAGAGACCCGCGUAGUCCCUGUCUCUUAUAC
Molecule: ribosomal RNA, 301 nt
Filed under: uncultured bacterium
Lineage: Bacteria
Description: partial 16S ribosomal RNA
Rfam family: Bacterial small subunit ribosomal RNA
Source: RNAcentral